UAAACGAUGCCAACUGACGAUCCGUGGUGGUAGUAUUUUAACCAUCCCCACGGGCAGUCCCCGGGAAACCUUUAAGUCUUUGGGUUCCGGGGGAAGUAUGGUUGCAAAGCUGAAACUUAAAGGAAUUGACGGAAGGGCACCACCAGGAGUGGAGCCUGCGGCUUAAUUUGACUCAACACGGGAAAACUCACCCGGCCCGGACACUGUGAGGAUUGACAGAUUGAUAGCUCUUUCUUGAUUUGGUGGUUGGUGGUGCAUGGCCGUUCUUAGUUGGUGGAGCGAUUUGUCUGGUUAAUUCCGAUAACGAACGAGACUCUAGCCUGCUAAUUAGUACGCCUGUCCUCUGUUCCUGUGCUGGCGGUGCUUUGGCGAAACUGCUCACAUAUGUCGACUGCUAUGGGGACGCGUUCUUGCGUGUGCCGCGAGCUCCUCGUGGGCAAGUGGCGUGCGUAGGGGCGUGAACUGUGGUAGGAGGCGUGUGCGGUGGGUCCGGUGCUUGCCUCCGGGUACGGCGCAGGUGUGUCUACUUCUUAGAGGGACAAGCAUUACGAAUGUGUACGAAAUUGAGCAAUAACAGGUCUGUGAUGCCCUUAGAUGUCCGGGGCCGCACGCGCGCUACAAUGACGGUGCCAACGAGUCUGACCUUCUGGCCCGAAAGGGUUGGGCAAACUGGUCAAUCACCGUCAUGACAGGGAUCGGGGCUUGGAAUUGUUCCCCGUGAACGAGGAAUUCCUAGUAAGUGCAAGUCAUAAGCUUGCGCUGAUUACGUCCCUGCCCUUUGUACACACCGCCCGUCGCUACUACCGAUUGAAUGGUUUAGUAAGGUCCUCGGAUUGGCGCCAUUGCAGUAUCAGCCGCAAGGUUGGUGCUCGACAGGUGCCGAG
This 884-nucleotide ribosomal RNA is filed under the name Dibothriocephalus nihonkaiensis. Its description in RNAcentral is "SSU rRNA". It matches the Rfam family "Eukaryotic small subunit ribosomal RNA", at positions 1033 to 1763 of the family's 1831-position model. Lineage: Eukaryota; Metazoa; Platyhelminthes; Cestoda; Diphyllobothriidea; Diphyllobothriidae. The record is from RNAcentral.